This 69-nucleotide transfer RNA is filed under the name Mycobacterium phage Myrna. Its description in RNAcentral is "tRNA-Val". Lineage: Duplodnaviria; Heunggongvirae; Uroviricota; Caudoviricetes. The record is from RNAcentral.
GCUCCUCUAGUCUGGGACAGAAGUCGGGUCACAUCCGAUCGAGCGGGGUUCGAUUCCCUGGGGGAGUAC